RNAcentral lists this ribosomal RNA (2902 nucleotides) under Escherichia coli KTE93. RNAcentral describes it as "bacterial LSU rRNA". It matches the Rfam family "Bacterial large subunit ribosomal RNA". Lineage: Bacteria; Pseudomonadati; Pseudomonadota; Gammaproteobacteria; Enterobacterales; Enterobacteriaceae. The record is from RNAcentral.
UUAAGCGACUAAGCGUACACGGUGGAUGCCCUGGCAGUCAGAGGCGAUGAAGGACGUGCUAAUCUGCGAUAAGCGUCGGUGAGGUGAUAUGAACCGUUAUAACCGGCGAUUUCCGAAUGGGGAAACCCAGUGUGUUUCGACACACUAUCAUUAACUGAAUCCAUAGGUUAAUGAGGCGAACCGGGGGAACUGAAACAUCUAAGUACCCCGAGGAAAAGAAAUCAACCGAGAUUCCCCCAGUAGCGGCGAGCGAACGGGGAGGAGCCCAGAGCCUGAAUCAGUGUGUGUGUUAGUGGAAGCGUCUGGAAAGGCGCGCGAUACAGGGUGACAGCCCCGUACACAAAAAUGCACAUAUUGUGAGCUCGAUGAGUAGGGCGGGACACGUGGUAUCCUGUCUGAAUAUGGGGGGACCAUCCUCCAAGGCUAAAUACUCCUGACUGACCGAUAGUGAACCAGUACCGUGAGGGAAAGGCGAAAAGAACCCCGGCGAGGGGAGUGAAAAAGAACCUGAAACCGUGUACGUACAAGCAGUGGGAGCCUCUUAAUGGGGUGACUGCGUACCUUUUGUAUAAUGGGUCAGCGACUUAUAUUCUGUAGCAAGGUUAACCGAAUAGGGGAGCCGAAGGGAAACCGAGUCUUAACUGGGCGUUAAGUUGCAGGGUAUAGACCCGAAACCCGGUGAUCUAGCCAUGGGCAGGUUGAAGGUUGGGUAACACUAACUGGAGGACCGAACCGACUAAUGUUGAAAAAUUAGCGGAUGACUUGUGGCUGGGGGUGAAAGGCCAAUCAAACCGGGAGAUAGCUGGUUCUCCCCGAAAGCUAUUUAGGUAGCGCCUCGUGAAUUCAUCUCCGGGGGUAGAGCACUGUUUCGGCAAGGGGGUCAUCCCGACUUACCAACCCGAUGCAAACUGCGAAUACCGGAGAAUGUUAUCACGGGAGACACACGGCGGGUGCUAACGUCCGUCGUGAAGAGGGAAACAACCCAGACCGCCAGCUAAGGUCCCAAAGUCAUGGUUAAGUGGGAAACGAUGUGGGAAGGCCCAGACAGCCAGGAUGUUGGCUUAGAAGCAGCCAUCAUUUAAAGAAAGCGUAAUAGCUCACUGGUCGAGUCGGCCUGCGCGGAAGAUGUAACGGGGCUAAACCAUGCACCGAAGCUGCGGCAGCGACACUAUGUGUUGUUGGGUAGGGGAGCGUUCUGUAAGCCUGUGAAGGUGGCCUGUGAGGGUUGCUGGAGGUAUCAGAAGUGCGAAUGCUGACAUAAGUAACGAUAAAGCGGGUGAAAAGCCCGCUCGCCGGAAGACCAAGGGUUCCUGUCCAACGUUAAUCGGGGCAGGGUGAGUCGACCCCUAAGGCGAGGCCGAAAGGCGUAGUCGAUGGGAAACAGGUUAAUAUUCCUGUACUUGGUGUUACUGCGAAGGGGGGACGGAGAAGGCUAUGUUGGCCGGGCGACGGUUGUCCCGGUUUAAGCGUGUAGGCUGGUUUUCCAGGCAAAUCCGGAAAACCAAGGCUGAGGCGUGAUGACGAAGCACUACGGUGCUGAAGCGACAAAUGCCCUGCUUCCAGGAAAAGCCUCUAAGCAUCAGGUAACAUCAAAUCGUACCCCAAACCGACACAGGUGGUCAGGUAGAGAAUACCAAGGCGCUUGAGAGAACUCGGGUGAAGGAACUAGGCAAAAUGGUGCCGUAACUUCGGGAGAAGGCACGCUGAUAUGUAGGUGAAGCGACUUGCUCGUGGAGCUGAAAUCAGUCGAAGAUACCAGCUGGCUGCAACUGUUUAUUAAAAACACAGCACUGUGCAAACACGAAAGUGGACGUAUACGGUGUGACGCCUGCCCGGUGCCGGAAGGUUAAUUGAUGGGGUUAGCGGCAACGCGAAGCUCUUGAUCGAAGCCCCGGUAAACGGCGGCCGUAACUAUAACGGUCCUAAGGUAGCGAAAUUCCUUGUCGGGUAAGUUCCGACCUGCACGAAUGGCGUAAUGAUGGCCAGGCUGUCUCCACCCGAGACUCAGUGAAAUUGAACUCGCUGUGAAGAUGCAGUGUACCCGCGGCAAGACGGAAAGACCCCGUGAACCUUUACUAUAGCUUGACACUGAACAUUGAGCCUUGAUGUGUAGGAUAGGUGGGAGGCUUUGAAGUGUGGACGCCAGUCUGCAUGGAGCCGACCUUGAAAUACCACCCUUUAAUGUUUGAUGUUCUAACGUUGGCCCGUAAUCCGGGUUGCGGACAGUGUCUGGUGGGUAGUUUGACUGGGGCGGUCUCCUCCUAAAGAGUAACGGAGGAGCACGAAGGUUGGCUAAUCCUGGUCGGACAUCAGGAGGUUAGUGCAAUGGCAUAAGCCAGCUUGACUGCGAGCGUGACGGCGCGAGCAGGUGCGAAAGCAGGUCAUAGUGAUCCGGUGGUUCUGAAUGGAAGGGCCAUCGCUCAACGGAUAAAAGGUACUCCGGGGAUAACAGGCUGAUACCGCCCAAGAGUUCAUAUCGACGGCGGUGUUUGGCACCUCGAUGUCGGCUCAUCACAUCCUGGGGCUGAAGUAGGUCCCAAGGGUAUGGCUGUUCGCCAUUUAAAGUGGUACGCGAGCUGGGUUUAGAACGUCGUGAGACAGUUCGGUCCCUAUCUGCCGUGGGCGCUGGAGAACUGAGGGGGGCUGCUCCUAGUACGAGAGGACCGGAGUGGACGCAUCACUGGUGUUCGGGUUGUCAUGCCAAUGGCACUGCCCGGUAGCUAAAUGCGGAAGAGAUAAGUGCUGAAAGCAUCUAAGCACGAAACUUGCCCCGAGAUGAGUUCUCCCUGAGACUUAGAGUCUCCUGAAGGAACGUUGAAGACGACGACGUUGAUAGGCCGGGUGUGUAAGCGCAGCGAUGCGUUGAGCUAACCGGUACUAAUGAACCGUGAGGCUUAACCUU